Molecule: long non-coding RNA, 949 nt
Organism: Oreochromis aureus
Lineage: Eukaryota; Metazoa; Chordata; Actinopteri; Cichliformes; Cichlidae
Source: Ensembl
UGGAGGAAAGGCUUAUCAGUGCGGUGGCUAACUAUCCAGAGCUGUAUGAUGCUAGCUGCUACUUUUACCGAGACAGGAAUAAAAAGGACCGAGCUUGGAGGCACAUAAGUGAGGAGAUCGGGCAACCUGGUUAGUUCAUUCAUUCGUCUUUUGAAUUUUCAGACUGACCCGAUGAAGCCGCGCAAAAGCUAGCAAGCCCGCCUACUGUCCCGCUAUUUUCCCAUUGAUGUACAAAUACCUUUCCGCUAACAAGAUAAUGUGUUUAUUCAGAGGACAUCUGCAGGAGAAAGUGGAAGAGCCUCAGGGACACAUAUAAUAAGGAGAAGAGGACGGAGAAGGACAAGAGGAGUCUGCAGCAGGAUCGAGGAAGAGAUAGAAGUUCUUCGCGGUCAUGGGGUUUCUGGACCCCUUCCUCACCCCGCGGGAGACUAGCGGCAAUAUGGUGCGGACCGUGGAGAACUUCCCCCCCGAGGACCAGGGACAGCCCGGAGAGGCAGCAGGGGAGUGUCAGUCAGAAGAGCCAACUGAUUCUGCAGCAGAGCCAUCCCCUGUCCCUGGUCCCUCAGCUCCUGCUGCUGCACCCACAGGCCCACAGAGGAGGACAGCUCAAAGGCGGUCGAGGGACGGGUCCCAGGACGGUCCAUCGGCGGUGGAGCUGGCCAUCCUGGAGUCCCUGAAGAGGCCACGCCAGUCUCCAACGGAGCAUUUCCUCCUCGGCCUUGUUCCUGCUCUGGAGAGCAUGCCGCCUCAGACACGAGAAUGUACACAAAUGUAUAAAUUAGUUUUUGAAAACAGCACAGCUGUGUUAAAUUUGGAAACAUUAGACCCUAGCGAUCAGUAGUUUUCUGAUGAGGCAGCAGCUCUCCAGGGCAGAAACAAUGUUGUUAUUUUUCUCCUCCUUCUCCCUGAGGCUCUUCCACUCCAAGCUGGGUCCUUUUUAUUCCUGUCU